AAUUCGAUGCAACGCGAAAAACCUUACCCACCUUUGACAUGUAUGGAAUCCCGAAGAGAUUUGGGAGUGCUCGAAAGAGAGCCAUAACACAGGUGCUGCAUGGCUGUCGUCAGCUCGUGUCGUGAGAUGUUGGGUUAAGUCCCGCAACGAGCGCAACCCUUGCCAUUAGUUGCUACGAAAGGGCACUCUAAUGGGACUGCCGGUGACAAACCGGAGGAAGGUGGGGAUGACGUCAAGUCCUCAUGGCCCUUAUAGGUGGGGCUACACACGUCAUACAAUGGCUGGUACAGAGGGUUGCCAACCCGCGAGGGGGAGCCAAUCCCACAAAGCCAGUCGUAGUCCGGAUCGCAGUCUGCAACUCGACUGCGUGAAGUCGGAAUCGCUAGUAAUCGCGGAUCAGAAUGUCGCGGUGAAUACGUUCCCGGGUCUUGUACACACCGCCCGUCACACCAUGGGAGCGGGUCUCGCCAGAAGUGGGUAGCCUAACCGCAAGGAGGGCGCUUACCACGGCGGGGUUCGUGACUGGGGUGAAGUCGUAACAAGGUAGCCGUAUCGGAAGG
RNAcentral lists this ribosomal RNA (560 nucleotides) under uncultured bacterium. Its description in RNAcentral is "bacterial SSU rRNA". It matches the Rfam family "Bacterial small subunit ribosomal RNA", at positions 948 to 1512 of the family's 1533-position model. The record is from RNAcentral.